This 301-nucleotide ribosomal RNA is filed under the name uncultured bacterium. RNAcentral's name for it is "partial 16S ribosomal RNA". It matches the Rfam family "Bacterial small subunit ribosomal RNA", at positions 509 to 807 of the family's 1533-position model. The record is from RNAcentral.
CAGUCGCCGCGGUAAUACGAAGGGGGCUAGCGUUGUUCGGAAUUACUGGGCGUAAAGCGCACGUAGGCGGAUAUUUAAGUCAGGGGCGAAAUCCCGCAGCUCAACUGCGGAACUGCCUUUGAUACUGGGUAUCUUGAGUAUGGAAGAGGUUAGUGGAAUUGCGAGUGUAGAGGUGAAAUUCGUAGAUAUUCGCAGGAACACCAGUGGCGAAGGCGGCUAACUGGUCCAUAACUGACGCUGAGGUGCGAAAGCGUGGGGAGCAAACAGGAUUAGAUACCCCAGUAGUCCCUGUCUCUUAUAC